UCGUGGCCCAAUGGUCACGGCGUCUGGCUACGAACCAGAAGAUUCCAGGUUCAAGUCCUGGCGGGGAAG
RNAcentral lists this transfer RNA (69 nucleotides) under Saccharomyces cerevisiae UFMG A-905. RNAcentral's name for it is "tRNA-Arg (ACG) (tRNA-Arg-ACG-3-1)". It matches the Rfam family "tRNA". From Rfam's summary of the family: Transfer RNA (tRNA) molecules are approximately 80 nucleotides in length. Their secondary structure includes four short double-helical elements and three loops (D, anti-codon, and T loops). Further hydrogen bonds mediate the characteristic L-shaped molecular structure. tRNAs have two regions of fundamental functional importance: the anti-codon, which is responsible for specific mRNA codon recognition, and the 3' end, to which the tRNAs corresponding amino acid is attached (by aminoacyl-tRNA synthetases). tRNAs cope with the degeneracy of the genetic code in two manners: having more than one tRNA (with a specific anti-codon) for a particular amino acid; and 'wobble' base-pairing, i.e. permitting non-standard base-pairing at the 3rd anti-codon position. Lineage: Eukaryota; Fungi; Ascomycota; Saccharomycetes; Saccharomycetales; Saccharomycetaceae. The record is from RNAcentral.